This is a long non-coding RNA of Papaver somniferum (opium poppy), 1245 nucleotides long. RefSeq lists it as uncharacterized. The transcript is spliced from 5 exons. Lineage: Eukaryota; Viridiplantae; Streptophyta; Magnoliopsida; Ranunculales; Papaveraceae. The record is from RefSeq and is a predicted model, not a curated record.
CUUCUCCUCUUCCAAAAAUUGGCUCUGCAAUUGAUGUCUAGGCUCUUUUUCUUUGGUAUCAUAAGACCAAAGAAAAUAAAUCUUCAAGACAAAUCAUGAUGAGUUUAUUGAUGAUUUGUUUUUAGAUACGAAAGAAAAAAAUCUAGAAAGAUCUGUCGGUGUCUUAGAGAUGAAAAGAGAAGAUAUUUUGCAAAUCAAGAGUUUUAGAGAUUCAGAGACGAAGAAAAUCUUAGAAGACACAGAAGAAAUGUAAAGCUCCGGUAGUCUCCGUUUCUGGUCAACACGGCUGGUCAAGAUGGGUCAAUACGGUGAAUGAUUAUUUUUAUUCCGGUUCAAUGAUCCAACGAUCAUGGUUUAUUGGAUAUUUCAGCAGUACUGCUAUAAAUUGAUAACGGUUAGGGGUUUUUGAGUUGCCCGGCUCUUCUCUAGAAAGGAAUUAGUAGAAAUCUGCACAAGUAUUUGUUGAUUUACAGCAACCACCGGGGAUACUCAUCUGAAUCCCUCUGUAUUCUGGAAUUAAUAGAAAUCUGCACAAGCAUUAACACCGGGGAUACUAUCUGAAUCUACUCUAUAUUUUGAUCAUGGAGGCUGCUUUACGUCUAAGGCAUAUUCAGUGUAAGAACCUACAAAAGCGUCAAAAGUAUACAUCAAAACUUUUCCCCAGCCUACACUAGGGGUGCAGGCAGAGUUGAAUGGCGUUAUUGAUGGCUGCCAGCUUGUCUGCGCGGAUUUUGGUAUCAAUGUCCCAACUGCCCCAGCCGACGAGUUUCAUGAGAACAUGGAAAUAGCCUUAAAGAAGCCUAAGAGUAGGAAGAAUUCGUCUGUGAAGCUCUACCGUCAGCUGAAGCCAGUUUUAGAUGCUUAUUACGUAGCAUUUCAGACUGAGAGGGACGCCUUGCUGCUCUUGCUGGAGUAAAUUAGCUGUUGACUUUACACUGGGAGGAGUGUUUCUUAUAUUGCAAAGUUCCCUGAAGUUUGCCCGGGAUGACUGAAUUUUUGUUUGUUGAAAUAUAGUUUUACACACUUACUGCCACUUUGUGAAAUUUUCGCGAACCUUCUACUUAAAAUGAGGUUAAGAGUGUUCUGUUACAAUACUGCUUUCCUAUGUACAACUGUGUUUUGUUAAAUGAUGCUGGUCAACUAGUCUAUGCAUUGUGCCAUUGUCGGAAUUCUGUGAAACUGUGUUUUAAAACUCAAGACUUUGUUAAGUUUCAAGCCAGGAAUCUGCUUCAGAUCUUGUUUUUG